RNAcentral lists this ribosomal RNA (153 nucleotides) under Cordyceps memorabilis. RNAcentral describes it as "5.8S ribosomal RNA". The record is from RNAcentral. Lineage: Eukaryota; Fungi; Ascomycota; Sordariomycetes; Hypocreales; Cordycipitaceae.
AAGCCGGGGGCGAGGGUUGAAAUGACGCUCAGACAGGCAUGCCCGCCAGAAUACUAGCGGGCGCAAUGUGCGUUCAAAGAUUCGAUGAUUCACUGAAUUCUGCAAUUCGCAUUACUUAUCGCAUUUCGCUGCGUUCUUCAUCGAUGCCAGAGC